CGGGACUGAUGCGCUCCUGUGGCCCCGCGCGGCCGGCAGUACCUCCUCCUGGUGCGGGACGAGAUGACGGUGGCGCACAAGCACCUGGGCGAGUUCUGCAGCUCCCUGAAGCAGUACCUGAAGAGCGUGGCCGGGGAGCGGGACUGCUUCCACGUGACUGCAGUGAAGCUGCCGGAUGGUGUCACCUUCAUAGUCUACGAGUUCUGGGAGACGGAAGAGGACUGGAAGAGGCACCUGCAGAGUGCCACCUGCAAGGGCUUCCAGCACGUGAAGGUGGACACGCUGAGCCAGCCCGAAGCCGUGUCCAGCGUCGCCGUGCCAGCCGCCUGGUGCACUCUGAGCAGAGACUGACUGUGCUGCCGGAGGGGACGCGGCGGCCACGCGAACGCCGGCGCUUCGGGGCCCUCGGUCCUUCCUGCCUGCUGUCCCGCCAGCGGGGACUAAUCGCCUGUCUUUUCUGAUGACCGUGUUAUGAGUGUGAUGCUGGGAGUACCCCUCUGCGCAGCCGGGAGUGCCGGAGGCGUAGGCGGUGGCUGUUUGGCGUGAAGGAAACCCCUGUCCUCACCCCGGCCCCCUGCAGCACCUCCUGGGACCCCCCUCCCCGGGCCAUCCCUUUCCUCCGUGAGCUGGGGCGGCAGGAGGGCUGGCUGGCCGCAUCCCGGCCUCGGGACUGCCCGAGGGGCAGGGGGCUCUGGGGCCAGCCGGGGACAGGGCCGAGGGGGCUCGGGGC
RNAcentral lists this long non-coding RNA (730 nucleotides) under Apteryx owenii (little spotted kiwi). RNAcentral describes it as "lncRNA (ENSAOWG00000011525.1)". Lineage: Eukaryota; Metazoa; Chordata; Aves; Apterygiformes; Apterygidae. The record is from RNAcentral.